CACUCAUUCAAAGAGUGCGUAAUAGCUCACUGGUCGAGUGAUCCUGCGCCGAAGAUUUCCGGGGCUAAAACUUACUACCGAAGCUACGGCAUCAGUAAUGAUGGGUAGGGGAGCUUCCCAUACGGGUUGAAGCAUGACCGUAAGGACAUGUGGACAGUAUGGGAGUGAGAAUGUUGGCAUGAGUAGCGAGAUGUGGGUGAGAAUCCCACAGGCCGUAAACCCAAGGUUUCCAGGGGAAGGUUCGUCCGCCCUGGGUUAGUCGGGACCUAAGCUGAGGCCGAAAGGCGUAGGUGAUGGACAACAGGUUGAUAUUCCUGUACUACCGAUAACCGUUUGAGAGAUGGGAUGACACAGUAGGAUAAGCUAAGCACACUGUUGGUUAUGUGUGCCCAAGCAUUGAGGCAGUCAAAGUAGGCAAAUCCGCUUUGAUAAUGCUGGGAUGUGAUGGGGAGCGAAAUUUAGUAGCGAAGUAGCUGAUUUCACACUGUCAAGAAAAGUCUCUAUCGAGGUUAAAGGUACCCGUACCGCAAACCGACACAGGUGGGUGAGGAGAGUAUCCUAAGGCCAGCGAGAGAACUGUUGUUAAGGAACUCGGCAAAAUGACCCCGUAACUUAGGGAUAAGGGGUGCCACCAUCAGGUGGCCGCAGAGAAUAGGCCCAAGCGACUGUUUACCAAAAACAUAGGUUUCUGCUAAGUCGCAAGACGAUGUAUAGGAGCUGACGCCUGCCCGGUGCUGGAAGGUUAAGGGGAUCUGUUAGAGCAAUCGAAGCAGUGAACUUAAGCCCCAGUAAACGGCGGCCGUAACUAUAACGGUCCUAAGGUAGCGAAAUUCCUUGUCGGGUAAGUUCCGACCCGCACGAAAGGCGUAACGAUUUGGGCACUGUCUCAACAACAGACUCGGUGAAAUUGUAAUUCCGGUGAAGAUGCCGGAUACCUGCGACAGGACGGACCGACCCCUUGGGGCUUUACUGUAGCUUGACAUUGGGAUGUGGUCCGACCUGCACAGGAUAGGUGGGAGCCUUUGAGACCAGGACGCCAGUUUUGGCGGAGCCAUCCUUGGGAUACCACCCUUGUAGUACUGGGACUCUAACCAUAG
This 1097-nucleotide ribosomal RNA is filed under the name Clostridioides difficile. RNAcentral's name for it is "bacterial LSU rRNA". It matches the Rfam family "Bacterial large subunit ribosomal RNA", at positions 1116 to 2231 of the family's 2925-position model. Lineage: Bacteria; Bacillati; Bacillota; Clostridia; Peptostreptococcales; Peptostreptococcaceae. The record is from RNAcentral.